UGGAGUGGCUAAGGAUGGGCCAGCCACGUCUGGAGUGGCUAAGGAUGGGCCAGCCACAUCUGUUAUGGCCAAGGAGGGGCUGGCCACACUGGUUCUCUUAAGGAGCUUGAUAUUUACAAAGAACUAACUGCAGAUAAAAUGAUGAAACGUUGUCUGAAAGGCAGGACACAGAAUCCUAAUGAAAGGCUCCAUCACCGAAUUUGGUCCUACUGCAACAAGGCACUGAAUCGAAACAAGUGGCAGGCUGAUUUCUCAGCCAGUCAAGCCAUAGCCGAGUAUAAUGCUGGAUAUGAGAGAAGUUGUAUCGAUAUACCACUUGGCUUUGGGCGUUCAUUGUUUACCCAAAGGAAGCUUCAAGCUAUGGACAAGAGGAUGCAGAGAAAAAAAAAAAAAUCCAAGAGGAGGAGACUUACGAUAGAUACUUCCUAUUAGCCUGGAGGACAUUAGAUGAUCAUUGGUGUCCUUACCAACACCUACUCAAAGUUGGGAUGCAUGGAGCAUUGUGAUUGGCCGAUCUCCAGGGAACUUCAGGAUGCAGGGAUCUGCAUGGUACUUAAAGGAUAUACUCUAUACACUUGUUUCUACUAUCAAUAAACAUAAGAAGGCA
Molecule: non-coding RNA, 607 nt
Organism: Cherax quadricarinatus
Lineage: Eukaryota; Metazoa; Arthropoda; Malacostraca; Decapoda; Parastacidae
Source: RefSeq, a predicted model, not a curated record